AGUUUUGAUCCUGGCUCAGAUUGAACGCUGGCGGCAUGCUUUACACAUGCAAGUCGAACGGCAGCACGAGUGCUUUGCACUUGGUGGCGAGUGGCGAACGGGUGAGUAAUACAUCGGAACGUGUCUUUAAGUGGGGGAUAACGCAUCGAAAGAUGUGCUAAUACCGCAUAAUCUCUAAGGAGAAAAGUAGGGGAUCGAAAGACCUUACGCUUUNGGAGCUGGCGAUGUCUGAUUAGCUAGUUGGUAGGGUAAAGGCUUACCAAGGCAACGAUCAGUAGUUGGUCUGAGAGGAUGGCCAACCACACUGG
Molecule: ribosomal RNA, 308 nt
Filed under: uncultured Nitrosomonas sp.
Lineage: Bacteria; Pseudomonadati; Pseudomonadota; Betaproteobacteria; Nitrosomonadales; Nitrosomonadaceae
Description: bacterial SSU rRNA
Rfam family: Bacterial small subunit ribosomal RNA
Source: RNAcentral